This 259-nucleotide ribosomal RNA is filed under the name Staphylococcus aureus. RNAcentral describes it as "partial 23S ribosomal RNA". It matches the Rfam family "Bacterial large subunit ribosomal RNA", at positions 328 to 587 of the family's 2925-position model. Lineage: Bacteria; Bacillati; Bacillota; Bacilli; Caryophanales; Staphylococcaceae. The record is from RNAcentral.
AUUAGACGAAUCAUCUGGAAAGAUGAAUCAAAGAAGGUAAUAAUCCUGUAGUCGAAAAUGUUGUCUCUCUUGAGUGGAUCCUGAGUACGACGGAGCACGUGAAAUUCCGUCGGAAUCUGGGAGGACCAUCUCCUAAGGCUAAAUACUCUCUAGUGACCGAUAGUGAACCAGUACCGUGAGGGAAAGGUGAAAAGCACCCCGGAAGGGGAGUGAAAUAGAACCUGAAACCGUGUGCUUACAAGUAGUCAGAGCCCGUUAA